Molecule: ribosomal RNA, 2513 nt
Filed under: Caenorhabditis nigoni
Lineage: Eukaryota; Metazoa; Nematoda; Chromadorea; Rhabditida; Rhabditidae
Description: eukaryotic LSU rRNA
Rfam family: Eukaryotic large subunit ribosomal RNA
Source: RNAcentral
AUAUCAUUUAGCGGAGGAAAAGAAACUAAAAAGGAUUCCCUUAGUAACGGCGAGUGAAACGGGAUGAGCCCAGCGCCGAAUCGAUCAGCCUAUGGUUGCUUCGAAAUGUGGCGUAUAGGUGUAGUCUUCCAGCAGUGUCGUGAGUCCGAAGUCCUUACGAUUGAGGCCAUAGACCAGAGAGGGUGCGAGUCCCGUCCUGGAUUGCGAUGCUGUUGGUUCGAUUGCUCCUUGGAGUCGGGUUGCUUGAAAGUGCAGCCUAAAGUGGGUGAUAAACUUCAUCUAAGGCUAAAUAUUGACUCGAUUGCGAUAGCGAACAAGUACCGUGAGGGAAAGUUGCAAAGGACUUUGAAGAGAGAGUUCAAGAGAACGUGAAAUCGCUGGAGUGGAACCGGAGACAGUUGAUGUUGCUUGGAGACAAGUUUGGUGGCUGGUCGCUUAGUUGUGAUCGUCGCCGGAUGUCGUUUCCUAUGCUACGCCGACGGCGUUGGUCGCUCGUUCUGGCCCGACAGUGUUGCCCAGCUCGCAAGAGUCGGUGUCUUGUUGUCGGUCGUUGGUUCGUGGUGGCUAGCGUUUAGUUACGCUAGUGUGUGUGACGUCGGUGUGAAAGUCGACGACGUUUCCGACCCGUCUUGAAACACGGAUUGCGGAGUGCUUGUCUACUGCGAGUCAAAGGGUGUUAAAACCUUGCGGCGAAAUGAAAGUGAAGGUCAGUCUUGAAUUGGCCGACGUGGGAUCGGUGCUCCUCGGAGUGCUGCGCACCACGGCCCUGUGCGUGUCACUUGUGACUGUGCAGAGGUUGAGCAGUUGGCAAACGACCCGAAAGAUGGUGAACUAUGCCUGAGCAGGAUGAAGCCAGAGGAAACUCUGGUGGAAGUCCGUAUCGGUUCUGACGUGCAAAUCGAUCGAUAGACUUGGGUAUAGGGGCGAAAGACUAAUCGAACCAUCUAGUAGCUGGUUCCUUCCGAAGUUUCCCUCAGGAUAGCUGGAUCUCCGGCAGUUAUAUUCGGUAAAGCUAAUGAUUAGAGGCCUUGGGGACGUAAUGUCCUCAACCUAUUCUCAAACUUUCAAUGGAUAUGAAGUUGCAGUUUCUUUAGUGAACUGUCAACGUGAAUGCGAGGUCCAAGUGGGCCAUUUUUGGUAAGCAGAACUGGCGCUGUGGGAUGAACCAAACGUGGAGUUAAGGUGCCUAACUUCUCGCUCAUGAGACCCCAUAAAAGGUGUUGGUUGAUAUUGACAGCAGGACGGUGGCCAUGGAAGUCGGUAUCCGCUAAGGAGUGUGUAACAACUCACCUGCCGAAUCAACUAGCCCUGAAAAUGGAUGGCGCUUAAGCGAGAGACCUAUACUCCGCCGUUGCGGCAUGUGCGUUGUCUAGCGCCAGGCCGUAACGAGUAGGAAGGUCGUGGCGGUUGCUUUGAAGGCUAUGAGCGUGGGCUCGGCUGGAGCUUCCGUCAGUGCAGAUCGUAAUGGUAGUAGCAAAUAUUCAAGUUCGAUCCUUGAAGACUGAAGUGGAGAAGGGUUCCACGUGAACAGUAGUUGGAUGUGGGUCAGUCGAUCCUAAGGUACUGGCGAACGCCUUGUAUCAUCGGUGGCGAAAAGCUUGCUUUUGGUCCCCGUUUGUCGAAAGGGAAUAGGGUUAAUAUUCCCUAACUGAGAUGCAAAGAUUGUGUUCUUCGGAGCACAAGCGCGGUAACGCAUUCGAACUUGGUUAGUCGCUCAAAGACCGAGCUAGAGUUUUCUUCUCUAGUUAAGGAACGGACUCCCUGGAAUUGGUUCAGCCAGAGAUGGGGACGUUGUUUCCGAAAAGCACCGCGGUUUCUGUGGUGUCUCGUGCUCUUUGAACGGCCCUUAAAACACCAAGGGAGGCUAUUAAUUUGCACUCAAUCGUACCGAUAUCCGCAUUAGGUCUCCAAGGUGAACAGCCUCUAGUCGAUAGAAUAAUGUAGGUAAGGGAAGUCGGCAAACUAGAUCCGUAACUUCGGGAAAAGGAUUGGCUCCAGUGGUUGGAACGAUUGGCCAGUUGGUUGAUGCUUGUCCGGCGCUAUUCUGUCUGCUUGAUGCUUUCGGGCUGAUGGCGGACUAGUGAUAGUGCUUGCUUGUGGACGCUUUCUGGUGUGUGCUAGGACCUCGGUUCUAGUAUCCUGAUCGCUCAUCUAAACAACCGUACUGGAACCGGUACGGACUCAGGGAAUCCGACUGUCUAAUUAAAACAGAGGUGACAGAUGGUCCUUGCGGACGCUGACUGUCACUGAUUUCUGCCCAGUGCUCUGAAUGUUAAAUCGUAGUAAUUCGAGUAAGCGCGGGUAAACGGCGGGAGUAACUAUGACUCUCUUAAGGUAGCCAAAUGCCUCGUCAUUUAAUUGUUGACGCGCAUGAAUGGAUUAACGAGAUUCCUACUGUCCCUAACUACUAUCUAGCGAAACCACAGCCAAGGGAACGGGCUUGGCAAAAAUAGCGGGGAAAGAAGACCCUGUUGAGCUUGACUCUAGUUUGACAUUGUGAAGAGUCAUGAGAG